This 507-nucleotide ribosomal RNA is filed under the name uncultured bacterium. RNAcentral describes it as "partial 16S ribosomal RNA". It matches the Rfam family "Bacterial small subunit ribosomal RNA", at positions 28 to 507 of the family's 1533-position model. The record is from RNAcentral.
GACGAACGCUGGCGGCGUGCCUAAUACAUGCAAGUCGAACGCAUUUUCUUUCACCGUAGCUUGCUACACCGAAAGAAAAUGAGUGGCGAACGGGUGAGUAACACGUGGGUAACCUGCCCAUCAGCGGGGGAUAACACUGGGAAACAGGUGCUAAUACCGCAUAAUUCCAUUUACUGCAUGGUAGAUGGAUGAAAGGCGCUUUUGCGUCACUGAUGGAUGGACCCGCGGUGCAUUAGCUAGUUGGUGGGGUAACGGCCUACCAAGGCUGCGAUGCAUAGCCGACCUGGGAGGGUGAUCGGCCACACUGGGACUGAGACACGGCCCAGACUCCUACGGGAGGCAGCAGUAGGGAAUCUUCGGCAAUGGACGCAAGUCUGACCGAGCAACGCCGCGUGAGUGAAGAAGGUUUUCGGAUCGUAAAACUCUGUUGUUAGAAAAGAACAAGGAUGAGAGUGGAAAGUUCAUCCCUUGACGGUAUCUAACCAGAAAGCCACGACUAACUACGUG